GGCCGGGCCCGGUGCACGGGUGUCCCGUGAACCUGGUCAGGGCUUGACCGCAGCAGCCAUAAGCGGCCGAUGCCCGGUGCCGCCGGUGUCCUGGCCGUU
This 99-nucleotide signal recognition particle RNA is filed under the name Planctomycetota bacterium. RNAcentral's name for it is "Planctomycetes bacterium (activated sludge metagenome) signal recognition particle sRNA small type". It matches the Rfam family "Bacterial small signal recognition particle RNA". Rfam says of the family: The signal recognition particle (SRP) is a universally conserved ribonucleoprotein involved in the co-translational targeting of proteins to membranes. Archaeal SRP consists of a 7S RNA and homologues of the eukaryotic SRP19 and SRP54 proteins. Lineage: Bacteria; Pseudomonadati; Planctomycetota. The record is from RNAcentral.